This is a non-coding RNA of Acanthosepion pharaonis, 114 nucleotides long. The record is from the annotation of a GenBank genome assembly. Lineage: Eukaryota; Metazoa; Mollusca; Cephalopoda; Sepiida; Sepiidae.
UUACGGCCAUAUCACGUUGAAACACCGGUUCCAGUACGAUCACCGAAGUUAAGCAAUGUCGAAGUUAGUCAGUAACUAGAUGUGUAACCGCUUAGCAAUACCGGGCGUUGUAAG